This 404-nucleotide ribosomal RNA is filed under the name Brucella melitensis. RNAcentral describes it as "partial 16S ribosomal RNA". It matches the Rfam family "Bacterial small subunit ribosomal RNA", at positions 355 to 776 of the family's 1533-position model. The record is from RNAcentral. Lineage: Bacteria; Pseudomonadati; Pseudomonadota; Alphaproteobacteria; Hyphomicrobiales; Brucellaceae. RNAcentral also lists the same sequence under 3 other names.
UGGGGAAUAUUGGACAAUGGGCGCAAGCCUGAUCCAGCCAUGCCGCGUGAGUGAUGAAGGCCCUAGGGUUGUAAAGCUCUUUCACCGGUGAAGAUAAUGACGGUAACCGGAGAAGAAGCCCCGGCUAACUUCGUGCCAGCAGCCGCGGUAAUACGAAGGGGGCUAGCGUUGUUCGGAUUUACUGGGCGUAAAGCGCACGUAGGCGGACUUUUAAGUCAGGGGUGAAAUCCCGGGGCUCAACCCCGGAACUGCCUUUGAUACUGGAAGUCUUGAGUAUGGUAGAGGUGAGUGGAAUUCCGAGUGUAGAGGUGAAAUUCGUAGAUAUUCGGAGGAACACCAGUGGCGAAGGCGGCUCACUGGACCAUUACUGACGCUGAGGUGCGAAAGCGUGGGGAGCAAACAAG